This 253-nucleotide ribosomal RNA is filed under the name uncultured bacterium. RNAcentral describes it as "partial 16S ribosomal RNA". It matches the Rfam family "Bacterial small subunit ribosomal RNA", at positions 524 to 776 of the family's 1533-position model. The record is from RNAcentral.
UACGAAGGGGGCUAGCGUUGUUCGGAAUUACUGGGCGUAAAGGGCGCGUAGGCGGUGUGUCAAGUCAGGCGUGAAAGCCCCGGGCCCAACCUGGGAACAGCGCUUGAGACUGGCACGCUCGAGUUCGGGAGAGGAUGGUGGAAUUCCCAGUGUAGCGGUGAAAUGCGUAGAGAUCGGGAGGAAGGCCGGUGGCGAAGGCGGCGCUCUGGAACAUUUCUGACGCUGAGGCUCGAAAGCGUGGGGAGCAAACAGG